Non-coding RNA from Odocoileus virginianus texanus, 565 nucleotides. Lineage: Eukaryota; Metazoa; Chordata; Mammalia; Artiodactyla; Cervidae. The record is from RefSeq and is a predicted model, not a curated record.
CAGACCCAGGGAUCAAAUGUGAGUCUCCUGCGGCACCUGCAUUGGCAGGCCAGUUCUUCACCACUGAAUUGUCAUAACUCUGCAAGAUGCUCCUAUGUGACAGACAAAUUUUAUCGUACGCGGAUGGUGCCGGAGAAAACAGGGCUCUGCAAACCAAGGGGACACACUUCAGUUCAGCAUUUCUAUCUCGUCAGGGGAGUUGGUGUGAAUACAGAAAUACAAGACAAUGGAAGUGGGGUCAAGUCCACACAGAAGUAGCCCACACACUCAUCAAAUGAGUCAUCUGUGUUCUGAAGGAACUGUGCCACCUAAUAGCAACACCUGAAGACUCUGCCAGACGGCAGAAAGUUCCAUCGGGUAUGCAAUGAAAAGAGCUCUAAAGUGAUUAACAUAAUGGUGGUGAUUACUCUGGGUCUGAUUUUUCAAGUGCCCUCUUCUGUACAUGUGGCUAAGAACACAUCGCUUGAAUGGAUACAGUUAAGAUUUUAACACAAAUAGAAGUGGGAGAUUGAAGACGGUUCAAGAUGUUCUUCAAUUGGGACUAAAAAAUGGCCGCUUAAAAUGA